RNAcentral lists this ribosomal RNA (443 nucleotides) under uncultured bacterium. Its description in RNAcentral is "partial 16S ribosomal RNA". It matches the Rfam family "Bacterial small subunit ribosomal RNA", at positions 338 to 795 of the family's 1533-position model. The record is from RNAcentral.
CCUACGGGAGGCAGCAGUGGGGAAUAUUGGGCAAUGGAGGCAACUCUGACCCAGCAAUGCCGCGUGAAUGAAGAAGGUCUUCGGAUUGUAAAGUUCUUUAAUCAGGGACGAAGGAAAUGACGGUACCUGAGGAAUAAGCCACGGCAAACUAUGUGCCAGCAGCCGCGGUAAUACAUAGGUGGCAAGCGUUGUCCGGAAUGACUGGGCGUAAAGGGAGCGUAGGCGGUCUGUUAAGUUGGAAGUGAAAUCCCGGGGCUCAACCCCGGAACUGCUUUCAAGACUGACGGACUUGAGUGCAGGAGGGGCAACCGGAAUUCCUAGUGUAGCGGUGGAAUGCGUAGAUAUUAGGAGGAACACCAGUGGCGAAGGCGGGUUGCUAGACUGUAACUGACACUGAGGCACGAAAGCGUGGGGAGCAAACAGGAUUAGAUACCCCUGUAGUC